Molecule: non-coding RNA, 973 nt
Organism: Cinara cedri
Lineage: Eukaryota; Metazoa; Arthropoda; Insecta; Hemiptera; Aphididae
Source: the annotation of a GenBank genome assembly
AAAUGAAACGCCAUCGACUUAUCUAUUACCAAUUACCAGGUGUUAUUUGAUUAUUUGCGAUCGUGUCGCGGAACGAGUAACGGUGAUCGGCUCGUAAAAAAACAACGUUAUCGGUCGUUCAGAAACAUUUUUCGUUUACAACGAUUUAUCGUUACGUGCGGGUUUAUAAAUUAAAUUAAUUAUCCUACACAAUAUCCUAGUUUCUUAAUUUUCCACUUAAACAGUGACCCACCCGUGGUGCGAAAUACGUCCGAUUUUUUUCCGAGUGGUGUUUUUGUAGUUAACCAUUGAUUAUAUUAUAAAACCAAUGAUAAUACACUAAUGUGUGAAACGAUUUUUACAUCAAUAAGCAACACUAUAAAAUCAUACGUGUAUAAAAAUGUAGUAUGUAGUAUAUUGUAUACGCAAAUAAUAUUAUAAAAUAAUAAUAGUGAACAGAAAUACAAUUAAUUAUACGGCCAUACAACGAAAUUCGGAACGUGCGCUUAUGUAGGUUAAAAUCGACGACUAACACACAGGUCCAGUGGCGCAAUCGGUUAGCGCACGGUACUUAUAAGACAGUUGUCGUGAGCAAUGCCGGGGUUGUGAGUUCGAGCCUCACCUGGACCAAAAAUCUUUUUUGCAUUUUUUUUCAGCCUUUUUUUUUACACUAGUUCAAUUUUUAUUAUCGACUUUUACAUUCUUUCACGAUAUUUCCCUUGUACAUUUACACACACACAACUCCCCUUUGUCGACGGAGAUAACCGACAUUGUUUCAUUUUAAUACAGUUUCGCCGAAUAUUUUAGGAGGUACAUUUUUCGUUUUAAAAGUUUUCUCAUUUUUCAAAUCAAUGAAGGUACUCUAAAGACAAGUGACAAAUCAUUCGACCACAGAGCGUUGUUCUUUAAAAUUUCGAGCAAAAAAAAAGUAAAAGCCAAAAGAACACAAAUUCUGUAGAAUAUUUAUUCUACAGAACUGUAUUCGAGAGACCAC